RNAcentral lists this ribosomal RNA (634 nucleotides) under Pilobolus umbonatus. RNAcentral describes it as "eukaryotic LSU rRNA". It matches the Rfam family "Eukaryotic large subunit ribosomal RNA", at positions 89 to 620 of the family's 3401-position model. Lineage: Eukaryota; Fungi; Mucoromycota; Mucoromycetes; Mucorales; Pilobolaceae. The record is from RNAcentral.
GCGAAGUGAACAGGAAAAAGCUCAAAGUUGGAACCUGCUUGACUUAGUCAAGCCGGAUUGUAAACUGUAGAAACGUUUUCUAGGCAAGCCGAGUUAAAAAGUCCUUUGGAACAGGGCAUCAUAGAGGGUGAGAAUCCCGUCUUUGACUUGAGCAUUUGUCUUUUAUGAUACGUUUUCAAAGAGUCAGGUUGUUUGGGAAUGCAGCCUAAAUUGGGUGGUAAAUCUCACCUAAAGCUAAAUAUUGACGAGAGACCGAUAGCGAACAAGUACCGUGAGGGAAAGAUGAAAAGAACUUUGAAAAGAGAGUUAAACAGUAUGUGAAAUUGUUAAAAGGGAACCGUUUGGAGCCAGAUUGGCUUGGCUGUAAUCAUUCUGGGCUUUGGCCUUGAUGCACUUGCAGUCUUUGCCUGCCAACGGCAGUUUUCUUCAAUAGGGAGAAAAUUGGUAGAAAUGUAGGUCAGGUUUCGGCUUGGCUGUUAUAGUCUAUCAAAUAAUACCUUGAAGGGGACUGAGGAUCGCAGUGAAUGCUUAGGCGGUAAUUUUAGUUUGUUAUUCUUGUUUAUGUUGGUAAAAUGACUAUGUUCGGGUAGUGUUAUCGAUGUAAGCGGAAGUACCAGGCUAUAUUUCUAAUCAC